GGCUCGUAGCUCAGUGGUAGAACAUCUGCUUUGGAUGUAGAUGGUCCUAGGUUCAAUUAUGGCAGCAUCA
Molecule: non-coding RNA, 70 nt
Organism: Podarcis lilfordi (Lilford's wall lizard)
Lineage: Eukaryota; Metazoa; Chordata; Lepidosauria; Squamata; Lacertidae
Source: the annotation of a GenBank genome assembly